Molecule: small nucleolar RNA, 128 nt
Organism: Apodemus sylvaticus (European woodmouse)
Lineage: Eukaryota; Metazoa; Chordata; Mammalia; Rodentia; Muridae
Product: small nucleolar RNA SNORA17
Exons: 1
Source: RefSeq, a predicted model, not a curated record
UCUGUCCCUAGAGGUGUGGAUGUGGCAGCUCUGACACAUCUCUGUAAGUAGGAAGCAAAGAGGAGAAUGACCAUGUCUACCUCAGUGUUCUGCCCUAUGGAUAUCUAAAGGAAUAGCAGCCUAACAUU